AGCAGCCGCGGUAAUUCCAGCUCCAAUAGCGUAUAUUAAAGUUGUUGCAGUUAAAAAGCUCGUAGUUGAAUUUCGGGAUCAAUUUAUCGGUCGUGCCAAUGGUAUGAACUGGUACAAUUGGUUUCUCCCUUCUGACGAAGCAUGAUGUCAUUAAUUUGGUGUCGUGGGGAAUCAGGACUGUUACUUUGAAAAAAUUAGAGUGUUUAAAGCAAGUAUUAGCUUGGAUACAUUAGCAUGGAAUAAUGAAAUAGGACGUUUGAUCCUAUUUCGUUGGUUUCUAGGAUCGACGUAAUGAUUAAUAGGGAUAGUUGGGGGCAUUAGUAUUCAAUUGUCAGAGGUGAAAUUCUUGGAUUUAUUGAAGACUAACUACUGCGAAAGCAUUUGCCAAGGAUGUUUUCAUUAAUCAAGAACGAAAGUUAGGGGAUCGAAGACGAUCAGAUACCGUCGUAGUCUUAACCAUAAACUAUUAGCCGACUAGGGAUCGGAUGAUGUUAAUUUUUUAAUUGUACUCAUUCGGCGU
RNAcentral lists this ribosomal RNA (520 nucleotides) under uncultured Glomus. RNAcentral describes it as "SSU rRNA". It matches the Rfam family "Eukaryotic small subunit ribosomal RNA", at positions 569 to 1086 of the family's 1831-position model. The record is from RNAcentral. Lineage: Eukaryota; Fungi; Glomeromycota; Glomeromycetes; Glomerales; Glomeraceae.